GAUGAUGUAUUUAAGAAAUAUCAACAGAAUAUGAGUGCAUCACAAAACAGAUAUAGGCCCUACCCCCAUGUAUACAAAGUACCUUUUUGACAUCGUACACUACAUCAAAUAAUAAAUAAUGAUAAUGCAUAUCAAGAUACAAUCAAGAAAUAUAGAUUUUGAGCCAUUUGCUAGGGUUUACUAACAUGAAGCGUGUAGUUGCCUAGGCGACAAUGACGCCGCCAUUCAAACCGCGCAGCAUGGCAUUUCGGGAUACCUUUCUCCAUCAUGGCGGAUAAGGUAGUUGGCUAACGUUAACGGUUAGCGUAUUCAACGAUUGUUUGUUUUCACACUUUGCGGGAUUGCAGCUAUCUGGCGUUAUUUUCACUGAAACGGCAUCCUCCGAACAUAAACUGGUGUUGAUUCAAGGAGCAGCCCACCAGUGACAUUAAGAGCACCUUUGACGAUAUCAGUGGCACCGGCACAAUGGAAUGUGCAGUAGACAUCCCCUCAGCGGAAGAUGAGGCACCUGAGAAAGACGACAUGAAUGCCAAGGAAGGGAAUGAUCAACCCCACAAGAAAAACAAGAAACACAGAAAACAUAAGAGCAAGAAGAAGAAGAAGAAGAGGAAGGGGGAAAAAGAGAGCACCUCAGAAUCUGGUGCCGAGUCGGAUGUAGAGCCACAACUGCUAGGUCGACCUGCUGUUAGGUCGACCAGAGCCAGUGCCAGACUAGCAGCAGCUACAGGAGCUGGAGACGAAGCUGGGCUGAAAGAGGAUGGCAAAAUUACAGCUCGUGCGGACACGGACGGAGAUGCCAAAUCCAAAAAACACAAAAGACAUGCUGCCAAGAAGAAGAAAAAGAAGAGGAAGAAAGACGAAAAGCAAGAAAAGAAAUCCCCAUCUCGCUCCCCAUCUGAAAGCAGCUCAGCUUCAGGCUCAGAGUCUGAAGGUGAAGGAGAGAAAGGGGCUGGAGAUGCCAAAUACUCUCCAGCUGCAGCAUCAGAACUGCAAGAACCAGUGUCCAAACUGAUUUCAAAAAGCAAACGAGGGGAGAAACCUGAGUUGCUUGGAGUGAAGAAAGAGGAGAUAUUGGAUAUUAAUGCGUCCCCAUCUGUAGUGAAGGGAAGUAACGCCAAUCUAUCAGAAAAGGAUAUGAGGUCCCCCUCUGCAGGCCAUGAUGAGAUAACACAGACAGCGACAGUUCAGGUUAAGACAGAGGGUAGUCAUGCUGAUGGUACAUUCAGCCAUGCCCAUGAGCUCCCUGACAUCAUCCCUAAACAGGAAGGUGCUACCUCAAGAGAUGACCCAGGCCUGAAAGAGCAGUCCAAUUCAGUUCAGAGGGCAAAGGUCAGAGAGCACGAUUCAUCCAGGUCUCCUUCCCCUCCCAGGGGCCCCGACAUUAAGAGGCCUCGGUCAAGUCAUAGUCGUUCACCAACACCGAGUCCUAGUCGGGAGCAGUCUGACGGGCAAACAGCAGAAGCAAAUAAAGAACGGUCAAGAACCCAUUCCAGGUCUACUUCGAAGGAAAAGCGGUCUGUAACUCCUCUAAAGAGUCGGCAGCUAUCCCGCUCUCAGUCCCCUAAAUUUAGGAAGUCACCUUCCCAGUCCCCCAAGAGAGCUAUCUGUCAGUCCCGGUCCACCUCUCGCUCCCUCACCCCAAAGAAGAAGGUGUUAAAGUCUCCAAGGAAGUCCAAGUCUCCUAAGCAUCGCAGGAGGUCAUUGUCUGUUUCUCCAAAGCGACGCCGAAGUUCCCACUCUCCUAAAAGAAAGGUGUCACGAUCCCCUAAACGCGGUGGGCGCAGGUCCCCCUCUCUAUCUCGGUCUCCAAGGAGAACUCGAAGGUCCGAGUCACGUCCCCGUGGAGGAGCAAGGCAUUCCAGGGCCCGCUCACCUAGGCGAAGUGGUGCAGUUGGCAGACGUUCAAGGUCACGUUCCGUCACGAGAACCCGUCGCUCCAACUCUAGAUCAAGACGUCCUGUCCGUCGCUCCAGGACACGGUCACCGGCAAGACGUGCAGGAGGUAGGCGCUCCAGGAGCCGAUCCUUGUCUCGUCGUAAGAGGUCUCCACCCCCCAGAUCCCGCCGCUCACGCUCCCACUCGAUCCGCAGGAGCAGGCGGACUCGGUCACGUUCAGUUGUAGUCCUUAAGCGCAACCGCCGCUCCAGAUCCAAGAGUCCCCGCAAACGGACUAAGUCUAGAACCCCUACCCCCCGACGGCGCUCCCGUUCCGCUGCAAGGAAAAAUCGUUCUCCACCUAGGUCUGGCAAACGCUCCAAAUCUCGCUCAUUGUCUCAAAAGCAUCAGUCAAAGUCACCCUCACCACUACCUGUCAAAAGGAUGUCCAAAUCUCCUAGGAAAGGUGGAAGACGGUCAAAGUCUAAAUCUGUCUCGCCCGGCUUGAACAGAUCUCCGUCCAGGUCUGAGUCAAGUAAUGGGCGGUCUGACAACUCCUCCCCAGCCAGAUCCACAUCUCCCUCACCUGUUAAAGAGAUCAAGCCUUCUUCUCCUGAGGCAGAGCAGACAGUCGCUGAAAGUGGUGGAUUGUCAGUUACAGCAGGUGCUUGGAAACCCAUGCCCUCAGCAGCUGUAUCCAUCCCCCUGGCUGAGAGCGCCUCAAAUGCGUUAAAGGAGCCGCUUCAGAUGCCUUCUCCCAACCAUGAUAAGAAACCGAUAGAUGGUGCCAGCUCAUCCAAUGAACAAGAUGUUUCCAGGUCCAGGUCUGUUUCCAAAGAGCCCGUCACUGGCCAAGACGGGUCAGAUUUUUCGGAAGGCUCAGAAGAAGAGGAUUCUGCUUCUCCAGUUAAGCUGAAGUCACGCUCACCUACAGAUCUCAGAAAACUGCGCUCAACUUCAUCACCUCGGCGAUCAACAUCCAAAUCUACAUCCCGAAGAAAGCAGUCUAGGUCCAAGUCUCCUGUAAGGAAAAGAGAAUCUGUCUCUCCAUCAGAGAGGAAGAAACGACGGUCUAAAUCUCGGAGUCCUGCCCGGCGGAGGAGGUCACGCUCGGCUGCGCGGCGCAAACGAUCACACUCGAAGUCACGAACCAGAAUCCGUCGAUCCAAGUCCCGCUCUCCGACCCGAAAGAGACGAUCCCGCUCACCCAAUGCCCGUGGGAGGAGGAGGUCCAAGUCCACAGACAGAAGCAAGCGAUCCAAGAGUCGCUCCACAGGUCGGAGAAAACGGUCAGUAGACAGAAGCAGGCGAUCAAGGUCUCGUUCUUCUGAUCGCAGACGCAGGUCUAGGUCGAGGGGGCGAGGGAGGCGUCCAGUGUUUCGCAGUCGUUCGUUUGAUAGGCGGGACAGGUGGAAAAGGGAACCCAGCCACUCUCCAGUUCUGAUUCUCCGCAAGCAGCGCCGCUCAGGGUCCCGUACACGACGCAGCACCAGCAAGACUCCUCCACGCCUCACUGAACUGGAUAAGGAUCAGUUACUGGAGAUAGCCAAAGCUAAUGCUGCCGCCAUGUGUGCUAAGGCGGGAGUGCCCAUUCCUGAGAGUCUUCGGCCAAAAGCCAUCCUCCAGCUCCCUCUACCCACUCCAUCUCCUACCCCCCUCUCCUUACCUCUACCUCUCCCAAUGGGCAUGGGGAUGCCGAACAUGCCGAAUAUGCCCAACAUGGGUCCGAUGGGGCUAUCCAAUAUUCCAGGAAUGGCCAGCAUGUCAAACAUAACCAUGUCUGCCGCGAUGGCAAGUAUGACCGCAGCUACUAUGACCGCUGCCUUGACCAACAUGGGUGCCCUCGCAGCCAUGCCUCCCCUUGCCCCGCUCCCCACCAUCACUAACAAGCCUCCCCCGUGUCUCGCCCCCCCACAACCAACCCUUAACCUGGACCACAUUGAGGAAGCAAAGAGGAAGGUCACUCAGCAAGCUAACAUUCACACCAUCAAGGAGCUUACUGAGAAGUGUAAGAUGAUUGCAAAUAGCAAGGAGGAGAUGGCCAUUGCUAAGCCCCAUGUCUCUGAUGAUGAAAGCUAAAACCGCCAAGCCCUCACGUCACUCCCCUCAAAAGAACUAAGGGAAAAUGUAACAAAUGCUUUACAGGAAGACUUACCUUCCCACAGUUCUCUUUGGUAGCCAGAUGUCCUGACUGAGCCUCAUACACCUCGAAGAAGAAGAAGCGCACCGGAGUUGUCACAGUUACAAUAUAGGUGCACCGUCAACAGCCACUGCCCCACCCAGCUUCCCAGUUUGUUUCUGUUUGUGUGUGUGAGAGAGAGAAAGAGACUGGCAGACUGUCACCUGUGAUACCACUGAGUAAUCUGGACACACUGACAUAUUGUGUGACUGUACAGUGAGUGUGAGUCCGUGAGUGAAUUGUUUUGUGUAUAUAGUGACUUUCACAACCUCAGUGUUGCUGCUCAUUUAGGCAGUCACUGACUAAAGCGGAAACAAACCAAACUAACUAGUGGCACAAGUGUUUUUGUAAAAGAUUAGUUUCUCUAAAUUUGUUUUACUUUUAUGCUUUCUUAAAUAAUUGAGUUAAGUGGGGACUCCUUCCUUGUUCUUCUGUAUUCCCCUCGGUUACCGCUAGUCACUGGUUUUCUAAACAAAUAAUGCAGAUGAAGUUUUGGUUGAUCCCCACAUGUGAUUUGUUUUCAAAAGCCUGGGUCUCCAGGGCAAGAGAGUGACCACAUGUUGUGAAUCCUGGAACAGGGUGCCAGAUCUGAUUAUUUUUAAAGGAAUGGAAUAACUGAAUAUAUUGGCUGUAAAAAGAAGGUUUGUAUGUUGGCUAUGACAGAUUUUCGUCUUCAUUUACGAAACGGAACUAACUCAGUUAGCACUGCCCUGGGUGUGAUUUUCGAUCCCUCUAUUUUAAACAGCACCAACCUCAUCUUUGACUCUAACCUGAGCUUUCGUUUGGGCUUUGUUGGGAGUUCUUUCCUACUUGGAAACAUGGUUUGCUGUAUAUGUAAAUGGGUCACACUUUUGACACCAAUAUCCUAACAUGCAGUGUUUUGCAGAACACUAUAAUUAUAUAACAUCUGUCUUUUAGAUGCUUUAAAAAUGCUAUCAUGGCAAUUCCCAUUGAAUAUUGAUGCAGUUAGUAUUCAAUGGGAAUUGUCAAGAUAGCAUUUUAAAACUCCAAGACAUUUGGUCGAGUGCAAACAUUUGAAAGGUCUGUGUUUCUAAUCAUUUGUCAUCAGCAAUGCUGGUUAAUGGCUGUCUCGGAGAUCCAAGAUGUUGGUACUUUGCCAACAGAACACAACCUACCAUAAUCCCACAAGAGUUGACUGACUGGACCUUGGGCCACCAAGCUUUACCUUAGUCACUAACCAUUUUUAGUUUUCCUGAUUUAAGAAACCGGAUGGGUAAAAUGUAACUUCCCUUAAACUUCACCCUGUAAAUGGAGGCAAUUAUUACUUUUUUUUUAGAAGAAGAACCUUUCUAGUUCACCGUGUGACUAAAUGCAUGAUAAACAAUAGGCAUUAUAAAAAUAAUAAUAAUCCGCUUUAGAUGCUUUUGCUUUUCUGUUGCUGUUUACAUUAUUAAAACAUAAGUUUCUAUCGGUUGCUUUUUAUAGAGACACACAUGGAGUGUAUCAUUCAUGUUAUUGCGCUUGCGGAUGACACAUUACUUCUAGUGGUUGUAGAGUUGAAAGUUGAGCAUGUCCCAAACUGUACCAUUAUUAAAGUUUUUGUAUAAUAGACAAUCAGGUUAUUUCUUUCAAGAUGUUUUUUUGUUGUUUUUUUAGAGGAAAGAACUAGAACCACAUUAAAUUUAAAAACAUCUUGAACCGUUGUAUUCAGGUGGCCAAUAGGAUGGAGGAUUUCCAUUAUGCAAACAAUGAAAAACCCUCCCAACAAGCCCUUUUCAUUUCUACCACUAACUCAUUUAAUCUGCUUUACUUGUGAAUGUUGUUGGAGUUUAGUAGGCCUUCUGUGCGAGCUGCGUCUGGGUAAACGAGGUCCAUGCUGCACCGAAUGCUUUUGUCCCAUUGGUUAACUGAAGAACAAAGACAAACUUAGUGCUUUUGGAAUGGAUGAGGUUUUUAAGGACUCUUGCAUUCGUAACUCAUUUAUUUUCAUUGGAGAGAGAAAUAAUUCUGGAUCCAUCCUUCUUUGUCGACAUCCCACGCCCAGGGCUGUUUAACUGUGGAACAUAAUCUGUUACGGUUUUGACGAACUGUAACUUUACCGACUGUACCAAAAGCAUUGUUGAACUGUUGAAUUGAUACCCUGAGGUAAUCUAGCUAUUUUAUGAACGAAAAAAGAAAAAAAUGCAUUUUAGGAUUCUUUUUUUUUUUUUUGGGUCAUUUGAAUAUGACAGCGCCUGCUUUGUACAUAAAUGUGUUGAUGAUUAUUAAAAACCUCAAUGAUCUAUAUAGACUGGUGUGCUAUGUUCACUUUAGUCAGGCUUAU
Long non-coding RNA from Cottoperca gobio, 6338 nucleotides. Ensembl annotates it as serine/arginine repetitive matrix protein 5-like. NCBI's taxonomy places the organism in Eukaryota, Metazoa, Chordata, Actinopteri, Perciformes, Bovichtidae. The record is from Ensembl.